RNAcentral lists this ribosomal RNA (403 nucleotides) under uncultured bacterium. Its description in RNAcentral is "partial 16S ribosomal RNA". It matches the Rfam family "Bacterial small subunit ribosomal RNA", at positions 28 to 526 of the family's 1533-position model. The record is from RNAcentral.
GACGAACGCUGGCGGCGUGCCUAAUACAUGCAAGUCGAACGCAGUGGGGACGGGUGAGUAACACGUGGGUAACCUCCCAUCAGAGGGGAUAACACUUGGAAACAGGUGCUAAACCGAUACUGAUGGAUGGACCCGCGGGGCAUUAGCUAGUGGGUGAUGUAACGGCUCACCAAGGCCACGAUGCAUAGACGACCUGAGAGGGUGAUCGGCAACACUGGAACUGAGACACGGCCCAGACUCCUACGGGAGGCAGCAGUAGGGAAUAUUCGACAAUGGACGAAAGCCUGACAGAGCAACGCCGCGUGAGUGAAGAAGGUUUUCGGAUUGUAAAGCUCUUUUGGGAGAGAAGCGGUAUCUGAACAGAAAGCCACGGCUAACUACGUGCCAGCAGCCGCGGUAAUUC